This 301-nucleotide ribosomal RNA is filed under the name uncultured bacterium. RNAcentral's name for it is "partial 16S ribosomal RNA". It matches the Rfam family "Bacterial small subunit ribosomal RNA", at positions 509 to 807 of the family's 1533-position model. The record is from RNAcentral.
CAGUCGCCACGGGAAUACAGAGGGUGCAAGCGUUAAUCGGAAUUACUGGGCGUAAAGGGCGCGUAGGCGGCAUGUACAGUCAGAAGUGAAAUUCCUGGGCUCAACCUGGGGACUGCUUUUGAUACGUGCAGGCUAGAGUGAGGAAGAGGGUUGUGGAAUUUCCAGUGUAGAGGUGAAAUUCGUAGAUAUUGGAAAGAACACCGGUGGCGAAGGCGGCGACCUGGUCUUUUACUGACGCUGAGGCGCGAAAGCGUGGGGAGCAAACAGGAUUAGAUACCCCUGUAGUCCCUGUCUCUUAUAC